Molecule: ribosomal RNA, 253 nt
Filed under: uncultured bacterium
Lineage: Bacteria
Description: partial 16S ribosomal RNA
Rfam family: Bacterial small subunit ribosomal RNA
Source: RNAcentral
UACGAAGGGGGCUAGCGUUGCUCGGAAUCACUGGGCGUAAAGCGCACGUAGGCGGAUCUUUAAGUCAGGGGUGAAAUCCCAAGGCUCAACCUUGGAACUGCCUUUGAUACUGGGGAUCUCGAGUCCGGAAGAGGUUGGUGGAACUCCGAGUGUAGAGGUGAAAUUCGUAGAUAUUCGGAAGAACACCAGUGGCGAAGGCGACUCACUGGCCCGAUACUGACGCUGAGGCGCGAAAGCGUGGGGAGCAAACAGG